RNAcentral lists this small nuclear RNA (338 nucleotides) under Octodon degus (degu). Its description in RNAcentral is "7SK RNA (ENSODEG00000023671.1)". It matches the Rfam family "7SK RNA". From Rfam's summary of the family: 7SK was discovered as an abundant small nuclear RNA in the mid-70s but a possible function has only recently been suggested. Two independent studies have found that 7SK RNA binds the CDK9/cyclin T complex (known as elongation factor P-TEFb). Lineage: Eukaryota; Metazoa; Chordata; Mammalia; Rodentia; Octodontidae. The record is from Rfam by way of RNAcentral.
GGAUGCAAGGGCCAUCUGGCUGAGACACCCGUCACGCCAUUAAUCACCAGAGUUGAUUUGGCUGAUCUGGCAGGCUGGCAGGGUGUCCUCUUGCUUUGUCACCACUCCAUCUGUGUCCCUCUUGAAACUUCAAGCUCAGUCAGAGAACCACCUUAUCCCACAGGGUAGAACCACUUCCGUGGUCAAGGGCAUACAAGUAGUUGGGCUCUUCUGCUAGAAUCUCCAAGCAAGCUCUCAAAAUCAGUGCUAUUAAUCAAAAGUCCCCUUGGGAGAAAGCAUUUAUCAUUAAGUCACCCUGAAUAGAUCCCACGUAAGCACUGGAUAUGACAGCUGACCUG